Molecule: transfer RNA, 77 nt
Filed under: Microbacterium sp.
Lineage: Bacteria; Bacillati; Actinomycetota; Actinomycetes; Micrococcales; Microbacteriaceae
Also listed under: 3 other names
Description: tRNA-Pro
Rfam family: tRNA
About the family: Transfer RNA (tRNA) molecules are approximately 80 nucleotides in length. Their secondary structure includes four short double-helical elements and three loops (D, anti-codon, and T loops).
Source: RNAcentral
CGGGAUGUAGCGCAGCUUGGUAGCGCAUCCGCUUUGGGAGCGGAGGGUCGCAGGUUCAAAUCCUGUCAUCCCGACCC